GAGUCGUAACAAGGUUUCCGCAUGAAUAAGUAUGGAACCGGCUCCCCGAGCCGCCUGCCCACGGCAGCAAUGCCCGGGCCGAUUCUGAUGAGUCCUUCCGCAGCGAAACUUAUAGAAGCCUAAGCAGCGUGGCAACACGUAGAGAGUCGACGACUGAAAACAAAGACUCUCGAGAUGCUAGUCACACUUGUGUGGCGACACGAUCGAAUUGCGGGGAAACCCUUAGAGCCCGGUACUACUAAGCCGUCGGGGAAACUCGGCGGCGGCCCGUGUUAACAGCACGGGGUGCGGUAAUAAGGUACCGGGAUUGGGCAAUCCGCAGCCAAGCCCCUAAACCUCUCGGUCUGCGACCGUGGCAUGGGGAAGGUUCACAGACUAGGUGGUUGUGGGUGGAGCGCUGCUCUGCUUAAGAUAUAGUCGGGCCCCCGGUGAAAGCCGGGGGGUAAUUCCUGCUCGGUGAAUAUCGUUCCGUAGGUGAACCUGCGGAAGGAUCAUUAGAGAGAACUUGCCCUUCGGGGGUACAUCUCCCACCCUUUGGUAUACAUACCUUUGUUGCUUUGGCGGGCUCGGGCUCACGCCCCUGCCCGCCAGAGGACCCAAACCAAGUAACAUGUCGUCUGAGAAAACUUAAUAGUUAAA
Molecule: unclassified non-coding RNA, 639 nt
Filed under: plant metagenome
Description: partial contains small subunit ribosomal RNA and internal transcribed spacer 1
Rfam family: Group I catalytic intron (bases 161-441)
Source: RNAcentral